RNAcentral lists this transfer RNA (73 nucleotides) under Gammaproteobacteria bacterium. Its description in RNAcentral is "tRNA-Thr". It matches the Rfam family "tRNA". From Rfam's summary of the family: Transfer RNA (tRNA) molecules are approximately 80 nucleotides in length. Their secondary structure includes four short double-helical elements and three loops (D, anti-codon, and T loops). The record is from RNAcentral. Lineage: Bacteria; Pseudomonadati; Pseudomonadota; Gammaproteobacteria.
GCUGGCGUAGCUCAACAGGUAGAGCAGCUGAUUUGUAAUCAGCAGGUUGGGGGUUCGAGUCCCUUCGCCAGCU